CCUACGGGAGGCAGCAGUGGGGAAUCUUGCGCAAUGGGCGAAAGCCUGACGCAGCCAUGCCGCGUGAAUGAUGAAGGUCUUAGGAUUGUAAAAUUCUUUCACCGGGGACGAUAAUGACGGUACCCGGAGAAGAAGCCCCGGCUAACUUCGUGCCAGCAGCCGCGGUAAUACGAAGGGGGCUAGCGUUGCUCGGAAUUACUGGGCGUAAAGGGAGCGUAGGCGGAUAGUUUAGUCAGAGGUGAAAGCCCAGGGCUCAACCUUGGAAUUGCCUUUGAUACUGGCUAUCUUGAGUAUGGGAGAGGUAUGCGGAACUCCGAGUGUAGAGGUGAAAUUCGUAGAUAUUCGGAAGAACACCAGUGGCGAAGGCGGCAUACUGGCCCAUUACUGACGCUGAGGCUCGAAAGCGUGGGGAGCAAACAGGAUUAGAUACCCUGGUAGUCCACGCUGUAAACGAUGAGUGCUAGUUGUCGGCAUGCAUGCAUGUCGGUGACGCAGCUACGACAUAAGACACUCCGCCGUCGGGAGGUACGGUCGCGAAGUAAGUUAAACGUUAAAGUUAGUAAGUUAGUUACGGCGUUGAGACGUGCCGACGGACGACGACGAGGGAGGAGG
This 612-nucleotide ribosomal RNA is filed under the name uncultured bacterium. Its description in RNAcentral is "bacterial SSU rRNA". The stretch from base 1 to 517 matches the Rfam family "Bacterial small subunit ribosomal RNA", at positions 338 to 873 of the family's 1533-position model. The record is from RNAcentral.